This 200-nucleotide ribosomal RNA is filed under the name uncultured bacterium. RNAcentral's name for it is "partial 16S ribosomal RNA". It matches the Rfam family "Bacterial small subunit ribosomal RNA", at positions 29 to 257 of the family's 1533-position model. The record is from RNAcentral.
AACGAACGCUGGCGGCAGGCUUAACACAUGCAAGUCGAACGCCCCGCAAGGGGAGUGGCAGACGGGUGAGUAACGCGUGGGAAUCUACCUAGUUCUACGGAACAACAGAGGGAAACUUCUGCUAAUACCGUAUACGCCCUAAGGGGGGAAAGAUUUAUCGGAAUUAGAUGAGCCCGCGUAAGAUUAGCUAGUUGGUGGGG